Molecule: long non-coding RNA, 607 nt
Filed under: Pogona vitticeps (central bearded dragon)
Lineage: Eukaryota; Metazoa; Chordata; Lepidosauria; Squamata; Agamidae
Description: lncRNA (ENSPVIG00000009004.1)
Source: RNAcentral
UCUUCCUUCAGGUCAAGGAGAAGCACCCUUGGGAGAAGGUGUUUUUCCUCCUCCCCUUUUAGGCGGCUUGCCCCUUACACUUGAAGGAGACGCACCUCUCGAGGGCAUGCCUUGCCUUGGAAUCUGAAUGGAAACACAGGCCGCUCCCUCAGCUUGCCCGUCUCUUGUGAAGCCUCAGUGCACUCUGUUAUCUUCUUGGCAAGGGCAGGGUUGAGGAGGGAGGCAGGCGAGAAAGUCCUGUAGAAGGAUUACUAGCAAAGGGUUAGGAAACUAUUCAUUUGUUUGCUUCACUUCUAGUCAGCUUUGCUCCCCGUGAGGAGAUCCAAGGCAGCCCGCAGUGAGACAGAAACGGUUGGGAAGAGAGAGAGAGAGAGAGAGAGAGAGAGAGAGAGAUUUGCCUGUCUAUCAGCAUUUGGGGUCAUCCAAGGAAAGCAAUCAGUUCAGAAGGGGCAAAAGAAGGUACUUCUUUCUGCAAACCAUAAUUAAUCUGUGGAAGCCAUUGCUGAGUUACCUGUGGGAGUAUGGGAGUUGUAGUCUCAUUCUGGAGAUAUCAGGUUAGGGUGGCUGAACCCAGUGGGAGGAGGAGGAUGUGGGACCAGACCACCAA